GACGAACGCUGGCGGCGUGCUUAACACAUGCAAGUCGAACGGGCCUGUCUUCUUUUUUGGGGGGUGGGUUGAGUGGCGAACGGGUGAGUAUCACGUGAGUAACCUGCCCUUCGGUCCUGGAUAACCGCUUGAAAGGGCGGCUAAUACGGGGUGGUCCGGUUGGUCCGCAUGGGCUGGUCGGGAUAGAUUCACUGUUUUUGGUGUUUCGGCGGGGGAUGGGCUCGCGGCCUAUCAGCUUGUUGGUGGGCUGAUGGCCUACCAAGGCGGUGACGGGUAGCCGGGCUGAGAGGGUGGGCGGCCACACUGGGACUGGGAUACGGCCCAGACUCCUGCGGGAGGCAGCAGUGGGGGGUAUUGCACAAUGGGAGGAAGCCUGAUGCAGCGACGUCGCGUGAGGGAUGGAGGCCUUCGGGUUGUGAACCUCUGUUUCCGGUGGUGUAGGCCCUGUCCGUGUGGUGGGGUUGACGGUAGCCGGGGAUGAAGCGCCGGCUAACUACGUG
RNAcentral lists this ribosomal RNA (500 nucleotides) under uncultured bacterium. Its description in RNAcentral is "partial 16S ribosomal RNA". It matches the Rfam family "Bacterial small subunit ribosomal RNA", at positions 28 to 507 of the family's 1533-position model. The record is from RNAcentral.